AGGGGCGUAGUUCAAUUGGUAGAGCACCGGUCUCCAAAACCGGGUGUUGGGAGUUCGAGUCUCUCCGCUCCAAAACCGGGUGUUGGGAGUUCGAGUCUCUCCGCCCCUGCCA
Molecule: transfer RNA, 112 nt
Filed under: Providencia rettgeri
Lineage: Bacteria; Pseudomonadati; Pseudomonadota; Gammaproteobacteria; Enterobacterales; Morganellaceae
Description: tRNA-Trp
Rfam family: tRNA (bases 1-73)
About the family: Transfer RNA (tRNA) molecules are approximately 80 nucleotides in length. Their secondary structure includes four short double-helical elements and three loops (D, anti-codon, and T loops).
Source: RNAcentral